UACGGAGGGUGCAAGCGUUGUCCGGAUUUAUUGGGUUUAAAGGGUGCGUAGGUGGUCAUUUAAGUCUGAUUUGAAAGCAGGCGGCUUAACCGUCUGAUGUGGUUGGAAACUGAGUGACUUGAAUGGGUUGGCGGUAGCCGGAAUGGGUCAUGUAGCGGUGAAAUGCAUAGAUAUGACCCGGAACACCGAUUGCGAAGGCAGGCUACUACGACUCGAUUGACACUGAGGCACGAGAGCAUGGGUAGCGAACAGG
RNAcentral lists this ribosomal RNA (253 nucleotides) under uncultured bacterium. RNAcentral describes it as "partial 16S ribosomal RNA". It matches the Rfam family "Bacterial small subunit ribosomal RNA", at positions 524 to 776 of the family's 1533-position model. The record is from RNAcentral.